GGAGUCAGCCAGACAGCCGCCCCGCCACUAAAUCGACCCUUGCCGGUACGCUGAUUUCCGCAGACCGGCGAGUUUUAAAGUUCAAUUACUCGGUGUUUCGGGGCCGAUUUAGUGGCGGGGAGGAAAGUCCGGGCUCCAUAGGGCAAGGUGCCAGGUAACGCCUGGGAGGCGCGAGCCUACGGAAAGUGCCACAGAAAAUACACCGCCGAUGGCCGGGCAACCGGAUCAGGUAAGGGUGAAAUGGUGCGGUAAGAGCGCACCGCGCGGGUGGCAACACCCGUGGCACGGCAAACCCCACCUGGAGCAAGGCCAAAUAGGGGAACGAUGGUGCGGCCCGCACCGUUCCCGGGUAGGCCGCUUGAGGCGCGCGGCGACGUGCGUCCUAGAUGAAUGGCUGUCCACGACAGAACCCGGCUUAACGGCUGACUCCAUUU
RNAcentral lists this RNase P RNA (434 nucleotides) under Candidatus Muproteobacteria bacterium RBG_16_65_34. RNAcentral's name for it is "RNase P RNA component class A". It matches the Rfam family "Bacterial RNase P class A". From Rfam's summary of the family: Ribonuclease P (RNase P) is a ubiquitous endoribonuclease, found in archaea, bacteria and eukarya as well as chloroplasts and mitochondria. The record is from RNAcentral. Lineage: Bacteria; Pseudomonadati; Pseudomonadota; Candidatus Muproteobacteria.